AAGAGAGAGUCAAAAGACCGUGAAACCGCUCAGAGUAUAAGCCAAUGGAGCUUGGAAGGCUUCCGCAGUUGUAGGCAUCAUACGUGGUGUCUAUCAGACCUUAAGCGUGGUUCGUCAGGCGGAGCAUUGAGUUGAAUUCUUAGUCCGACGUACGGGGGAACGGCGUGGGGCCCAAUGCUUCGGAGGAAGGGUCCCAGCCGUUUUCUUUAGCACGGACGUUCAGAGCUUUUGUGUCUUAUGCGGUGAUUGCCCACCACGGCACGUUGCGAGGUCACCCACAGGCUCAAACUGCCGAUCGCGCAUCCAGGACGAUGGCAACGAUGCGUAGUUGGGAGCUUGCUCCCUCACGCGUGUCUAGUCCUGGGUCGGGCGGCGACCGAGAUAAACCUGGUACGAUCCUCAAGCGACGAGCUGCUUUCUGGCCAGACCGACGCCCUGGCGCUUCCACUGUGCCGGAAGCGUCAAUGUCAGGCGGCGUGAUCCUGCUGCAUAUUGCAUGGUCUCUCGGCCAGGCGUCGUUGGUCUGAGUGGUGUCAAGUCCAGCACCAUCGGUCACGUCUCGAAACACGGGCCAAGGAGUAUAGCAUGUGUGCAAGUCUAAGGGUCUCCCAAAACCCGAAGGCGAAGUGAAAGCAAGACUGUGGCGGGGGAGCUACGGCGAACCCGCCGGCCUGGUGCGGCGCUCGCGUCGCCCGGCUUAUGGCAGAGCUGAUCCUGUUUUCACGGUUGAUUCUUGGUGCAGGCGCAAGCUCCGGGCUCACGUACAACACCGGUCACGCCUCGUGCGCGGCUGUGUUGUGAGCACCGUGAAGCAUGC
RNAcentral lists this ribosomal RNA (817 nucleotides) under Niphargus sp. 45 SB-2021. Its description in RNAcentral is "partial 28S ribosomal RNA". The record is from RNAcentral. Lineage: Eukaryota; Metazoa; Arthropoda; Malacostraca; Amphipoda; Niphargidae.